GAUGAACGCUAGCGGCAGGCCUAAUACAUGCAAGUCGGACGGGAUUCAGGAGCUUGCUUCUGAUGAGAGUGGCGCACGGGUGCGUAACACGUAUGUAACCUACCUUUAUCAGGGGGAUAGCCUCUCGAAAGAGAGAUUAAGCCCGCAUAAAAUCACAGCACAGCAUUGUGUAAUGAUCAAAUAUUUAUAGGAUAAAGAUGGGCAUGCGGAACAUUAGCUAGAUGGCGGGGUAACGGCCCACCAUGGCGACGAUGUUUAGGGGAUCUGAGAGGAUGGCCCCCCACACUGGUACUGAGACACGGACCAGACUCCUACGGGAGGCAGCAGUAAGGAAUAUUGGUCAAUGGGCGGAAGCCUGAACCAGCCAAGCCGCGUGCAGGAAGACGGCCCUACGGGUUGUAAACUGCUUUUAUACGGGAAUAAACCCAGAUACGUGUAUCUGGCUGAAUGUACUGUAAGAAUAAGGAUCGGCUAACUCCGUG
This 482-nucleotide ribosomal RNA is filed under the name uncultured bacterium. Its description in RNAcentral is "partial 16S ribosomal RNA". It matches the Rfam family "Bacterial small subunit ribosomal RNA", at positions 28 to 507 of the family's 1533-position model. The record is from RNAcentral.